Molecule: long non-coding RNA, 3380 nt
Filed under: Canis lupus familiaris (dog)
Lineage: Eukaryota; Metazoa; Chordata; Mammalia; Carnivora; Canidae
Description: lncRNA (ENSCAFG00845021397.1)
Source: RNAcentral
UUAGGGUAUUAUGUUAUCAGACUUUGGAUCUUAUUUAAAUCUUCUGUUCUAUCUAGCCUCUUCUUAUAUUCCUGUGGUGGAGCAUGGGAAGGGGAGGUGUUCCCUUGUUACUGUUAGAUGGAACUAGAAGUUCAGGUUUGCCAUUUGACCUAUGUUGCGAUAUGACAUUAUUUCUUUCAUGUGUGCAAUGUAUAUUUCUUUAACAUUACUUAAAUUCCCAUUAAAACUAGUAAAUGGAUCUUUGGAACUCUGUGGAUUCAUUCUUAAACACUCAGAAUUUUUUCCACUAGACAGAAAAUAGCUACAACUUGUGAAACCAAGACCAUUUCUUAAUUCAUAGUUCCAUGGGCAAUGAUGUCUCUGACAUGCACAAAAUUAUUUGAUUUCAGAACUUGGUACUACAUAGUAAUGCUUUCUAUAGGGUCAAGGCAGACCAUUUUACUUACUGAAUAUUAGUAAAACUCAAAAGUAGUGUAAAAAUAAUGGCUGCAUAGUUUAUAUAUUGAUAUUUAACCAUUUUAGGGAGUAAAUGUAUAGAAAUCAGUGAUGGUGGUUAACGAUUUCUGAGUGAAACAAAAGUAUUAAAAGUACAAAGAAAUGAAAGACAUUGAUGUUGAUAAGCAGAGAAUCAGUACCGAGAUUUAAAAGUUGAUUUUUUUUUUAUAUUCUAUUAGUCAAGGUCCUGGCAGGAAAUAGGCAGACACAAAAGCAUUUAACAAAAAAAAAUUGUUGAAAUAAUAUGGACAGACAUGUAGGCAGGGUGAUGAGGCUGAAGGAACCAGGUAAUAUCAAAACUGGGAAGUUGUUUCCACCUCUAGCUCUGAUGGGUCAAAGUGAGAGAACAAAGUUGUUGGAAUAAUACAAGACACACAUAGUCAUGACCAAGACUUUAGUGAGGUGAAUACAAAGUUGCAAAUAAAUGCCCUGUUUUCUCCCUGUCCUCUGAUGUGCUGGUGUCACACAGUUUGCUGACAGGGUGCAAGAGGCUGAGGUGACAGAGAUGAAGAGCUGACCUCCCCAGGGCAAAGAGCAGGGCAGAGAAUGUCAUAAAAUGGAUGUGGUAGUGGGGAGGCCAAAAUUUCUACACUAAGGAUAUAAGGCUAUAAUUCCUGAUCCCUGUCCUCAACAGGAUUAGGCUUGAAGUGUAUUAAAAGAAAAUACAUUUUAAUCUACUUGUUAAUUAAUGAACCCAAAUAAGCUAGACGCUGCUGUCUGGGAAAGGUACCUAAUGGAGGAACAGGAUUUUAAAGAUACUACCACUUGCACUCCAUAGUAUAAAAGAUUGCCAUGUCAGUUAAAUAAGGCAAUAAAUUGAAAAAGCUGCUCUUUAAUGCAUACGUUAGAAAAGAAGAAAUCAGUAAUCCAAGCUCUCACCUUGAGAAUCGAGAAAAUGAAGAAGAAAAUAAAACCGAAAACAAGCACAAUGAAGGAAAUAAUAAACAGCAGAAAUCAGUAAAAUUGAAGGCAGAAAAACAAUAGACAAAAUCAAUGAAACAACUCAUUUUUCAAAAAGAUCAAUAGGAUUGACAAAGUGCUAACAAGAGUGAUAAAGGAAAAAAAACUGAAGACAUACAAAUUACAAACAUUAAGAAUGAAACGGAGUAUCACUAUAGGCUCGGCAGACAUAAAAAAGAUAAUAAGGGAACACUGUGGACAAUUAUUCACAUACAUGCUUGACAAUUUAGAUAAAAUGGGCCAAUUCUUCAUAAAGCACAACUACUCCAAAUCACUCCAUAUGAAAUAGAGGAUUUGAACAGCCAUAGAACUAAUCAGGAAAUGGAACUCAUUAUUUAAAAACUUCUGAAAAGUAAAUCUCCAUGCCUGGAUGGUUUCAAUGGGAAAUUACACCAAACUUUUAAAGAAGGAUCAACACCAAUUCAACACCAAUUCUACACUGACUAUUUCAGAAAAGAGAAGAGAUAGCAACAAUUCUGAACACAAUUUAAUGAGUCCAGCAAGAACCUGAUACCAAAAUUUAAAAAAAAUCAAAAACACCAAAACAAAACAAAAAACUAGAGACCAAUAUUCCUUAUCAAUAUCAAAGCAAAAUUUCUUAACAAAAUAUCAGUAUGUAAAAUUUAGCAACAUAUAAAAAAAUCUUGUAGAGUUUGUUCCAGGGAUAUAAAACUGGUUUGAUAUUUGAAAAUCAUUACUGUAAUCCACCAUAUUUACUGUUACAGAAGAAAAAUAAUUUGAUCUUACCCAUGGAUGCAUGACAUCAUUUGACUAAUUUCAACACCUAUGUCUGAAAUAAACUCUAAAAAAUAGGAACAGAAGGGAACUUCCUCAGCUUAAUAAACAGCACUCACAUAAAUCCUACAACUAAGUUCAUACUUUGCAGUGACAGAUUAAAUGCUUUUUCCCUAGUACUGUGAACACAGCAAGAAUGUAUAUCCUUUACUGUUACUCAACAGAGGGCUGAAAGUUUUAACUAGUGCAAAGAGGCAACACGAGAAAGUAAAUCCAUACAGAUGGGAAAGGAAUACAUAAAACUUGCUUACAUGCAGAUGGGAUGAACAUGAAAAUUCCAAGCAAUGUACAAGAAAAAGAUAUUUCCCAGAAUUAAUAAGUGAGCUCAUUGAGGUAGCAGAAUAAAUUAUAAAAGUACAAAAAUCAAUUGUAAUUCUACAUACUGGUAAUGAACAAGUGGACACUGAAAUUAAAUAUAGUGGUCUUUGCUCUCUCACAAAAAAAUGAAGUAGGUGUUAAUUGGACACAAUAUGUACUGUACAUAUGGUGAAAACAACAAAAUGCUAUAGAAAUAAACCAACGAACAUCUAACUAACAGGCAAAUGCUAUGUUCAUUGGGAGACUCAACAUAGUUUUACUCAAAUUGAUGAUACAGCUUUAGCACAAUUCCUAUCAAAAUCCUAGCAAGAUUUUUUUUGUUGUUGUUGGGAGAGACAGGAUCACUCUAAAAUUUACAUGGAAAGGCAAUGAAACUAGAAUAAUUAAAACAAAAUUGAAAAGGAAGACUAAAGAAGGAAGAAAAUUAAUCAGAUUUUUAAACUUAUAUAGAUACGGUAAUCAAGGUAGUGUGGUACUGGUGGCUGGACAGACUCAAAGACCAGUGGAAGAUUAGAGAACCACACAAAUAUGGUCAAUUGACUUAGACAAAGAUCCAAAAACAAUUUCACAGAGCAAAGGGCUUUUUCAAGAAAUGAUGCUAGAACACUUAAGUGUGCCACCUUAUACAAAAUUAACUCAUAAUAGAUGAGUUUAAAUGUAAAACACAAAACUAAAUAUUUUAAAAAUAUAUACAUAAGAAAAUAAUCAGGAUCUAGGGCUAGGUAGAGUUCUUAGAUUUUAUGCUAACAGCAUAGUUCAUAUAUUUAUUUUUUAUUUUAUUUUAUUUAUUUAUGAUAGGCACACAGUGAGAG